GACGAACGCUGGCGGCGUGCCUAAUACAUGCAAGUAGAAAGCUGAAGCUUGGUGCUUGCACCGAGCGGAUGAGUUGCGAACGGGUGAGUAACGCGUAGGUAACCUGCCUGGUAGCGGGGGAUAAAUAUUGGAAACGAUAGCUAAUACCGCAUAAGAGUAGAUGUUGCAUGACAUUUGCUUAAAAGGUGCAAUUGCAACACUACCAGAUGGACCUGCGUUGUAUUAGCUAGUUGGUGAGGUAACGGCUCACCAAGGCAACGAUACAUAGCCGACCUGAGAGGGUGAUCGGCCACACUGGGACUGAGACACGGCCCAGACUCCUACGGGAGGCAGCAGUAGGGAAUCUUCGGCAAUGGACGGAAGUCUGACCGAGCAACGCCGCGUGAGUGAAGAAGGUUUUCGGAUCGUAAAGCUCUGUUGUAAGAGAAGAACGAGUGUGAGAGUGGAAAGUUCACACUGUGACGGUAGCUUACCAGAAAGGGACGGCUAACUACGUG
RNAcentral lists this ribosomal RNA (497 nucleotides) under uncultured bacterium. RNAcentral describes it as "partial 16S ribosomal RNA". It matches the Rfam family "Bacterial small subunit ribosomal RNA", at positions 28 to 507 of the family's 1533-position model. The record is from RNAcentral.